This 434-nucleotide ribosomal RNA is filed under the name uncultured bacterium. RNAcentral describes it as "partial 16S ribosomal RNA". It matches the Rfam family "Bacterial small subunit ribosomal RNA", at positions 28 to 507 of the family's 1533-position model. The record is from RNAcentral.
GAUGAACGCUGGCGGUAUGCUUAACACAUGCAAGUCGAACGGACUCUUCGGAUUUAGUGGCGGACGGGUGAGUAACGCGUGAGAAUCUGGCUUUGGGUUCGGGACAACCACUGGAAACGGUGGCUAAUACCGGAUGUGCCGAGAGGUAAAAGAGAAAUUGCCUGAAGAUGAGCUCGCGUCUGAUUAGCUAGUUGGUGAGGUAAAGGCUCACCAAGGCAGCGAUCAGUAGCUGGUCUGAGAGGAUGACCAGCCACACUGGGACUGAGACACGGCCCAGACUCCUACGGGAGGCAGCAGGGGGGAAUUUUCCGCAAUGGGCGAAAGCCUGACGGGGCAAUACCGCGUGAGGGAAGAAGGCUCGUGGGUUGUAAACCUCUUUUCUUAGGGAAGAACGAAUGACGGUACCUAAAGAAUCAGCGUCGGCUAACUCCGUG